This 394-nucleotide unclassified non-coding RNA is filed under the name Hevea brasiliensis (rubber tree). Lineage: Eukaryota; Viridiplantae; Streptophyta; Magnoliopsida; Malpighiales; Euphorbiaceae. The record is from RNAcentral.
GCAAUGGAGGAGCUUCUUCAAGUGAUAAAGACAACAAAACCCGAUAAAUUUACACCGCGGAUUAUAGAAAAGAAGGAAGACUAUUUGCAUGUGGAAUAUCAAAGUCCCAUUUUGGGGUUAGUUGAUGAUGUUGAAUUUUGGUUUCCACCGGGCAACAACUCCAUUGUGGAGUAUCGAUCUGCGUCGAGGUUGGGAAACUUCGAUUUUGAUUACAAUAGAAAGAGAAUCAAGACAUUGCGACUGGAGUUGGAGAAAACAGGAUGGGCUUCUGCUGAAAGCUUCUGACGAGGAACCAAAAAAAGAAAAAGCCUUCUCGAGGGCCACUGCUCGCUAGCUGAUCUGAUACUUGGAACUCUCUGAACUCUCAUCUUUUAAAUUCUUAAUGAUUUACAAG